This 505-nucleotide ribosomal RNA is filed under the name uncultured bacterium. Its description in RNAcentral is "partial 16S ribosomal RNA". It matches the Rfam family "Bacterial small subunit ribosomal RNA", at positions 28 to 507 of the family's 1533-position model. The record is from RNAcentral.
GACGAACGCUGGCGGCGUGCCUAAUCCAUGCAAGUAGAACGCACGGUUUAUACCGUAGCUUGCUACACCAUAGACUGUGAGUUGCGAACGGGUGAGUAACGCGUAGGUAACCUGCCUGGUAGCGGGGGAUAACUAUUGGAAACGAUAGCUAAUACCGCAUAAUAUUAAUUAUUGCAUGAUAAUUAAUUGAAAGGUGCAAUUGCACCACUACCAGAUGGACCUGCGUUGUAUUAGCUAGUAGGUGAGGUAACGGCUCACCUAGGCGACGAUACAUAGCCGACCUGAGAGGGUGAUCGGCCACACUGGGACUGAGACACGGCCCAGACUCCUACGGGAGGCAGCAGUAGGGAAUCUUCGGCAAUGGACGAAAGUCUGACCGAGCAACGCCGCGUGAGUGAAGAAGGUUUUCGGAUCGUAAAGCUCUGUUGUAAGAGAAGAACGGGUGUGAGAGUGGAAAGUUCACACUGUGACGGUAUCUUACCAGAAAGGGACGGCUAACUACGUG